RNAcentral lists this long non-coding RNA (626 nucleotides) under Parus major (Great Tit). Its description in RNAcentral is "lncRNA (ENSPMJG00000002546.1)". The record is from RNAcentral. Lineage: Eukaryota; Metazoa; Chordata; Aves; Passeriformes; Paridae.
AAAAGGUGGAUUUUAAUGUGACCGUUACCUGGAAUAAAGAUGACAACAUUUUACAGAGUUACAGUUGGGAAGCUGCCAGGAAGAAGUGGCCUGAUAGCAACAACUUGUGAUAAAUUUCCAAAGAGUGGCAGUUUCAAAGGUGCAACUUGGAUGUGCUCAUUGUUAGAUUAUGCGAUUAAUUGUGGGAUUAUGUGUGACUCCUCAGCCUGACUGGGCAGGCCAGUGUGCUGCUGGAGUGGUGGAGAGCCCCAAGAACUCUGUGAGAGACCCUGCUCCAUCUCUCCAAGGCUGCUCCAGGAGCCACCUGCUUGAGGUGCUCUACCAGUCAGCUGGUGCUCUGAUUUCUGCUGCCUGCCCUGCCUCCCAGAAUAGUUUUGCUAUUCUGCACCAGGCUUCCUGCCGUGGUGAGCACCAGCAUUUCAGGACACAGCCGUGCUGGCAAAGAAAUAGCCCCAUACUAGUACAAAGAGUAUCAGGCACGUGUGGAGCAUAGUCUGUAUCUUUCUGCGUGCACUCUCUCACUGCUGCGAUCACUUAAAAGACAAGGGGACACCGAGUCUCAGAAGCCUUUGUUAAUCAUCCACAGCUGACUGUUCACCAUAUAAAUAAAUGAUGAUUCGUCCUCA